GUCCAUAUCUAUAUCACCCCGCAGCCCAAGACUGGUUAUUUACUGAAGCUAAGCAGAGCUGAUCAUGGUUAGUACCUGGAUGGAAGACCACAUGGGAAAACUAGGUUGCUGUUGGAA
Danio rerio (zebrafish) is the source of this 117-nucleotide non-coding RNA. The record is from Rfam. NCBI's taxonomy places the organism in Eukaryota, Metazoa, Chordata, Actinopteri, Cypriniformes, Danionidae.